UCCAGACUCCUACGGGAGGCAGCAGUGGGGAAUAUUGCACAAUGGGGGAAACCCUGAUGCAGCAACGCCGCGUGGGUGAAGAAGUAUUUCGGUAUGUAAAGCCCUAUCAGCAGGGAAGAGAAUGACGGUACCUGACUAAGAAGCCCCGGCUAACUACGUGCCAGCAGCCGCGGUAAUACGUAGGGGGCAAGCGUUAUCCGGAUUUACUGGGUGUAAAGGGAGCGUAGGCGGCGAUGCAAGUCAGAAGUGAAAGCCCGGGGCUCAACUCCGGGACUGCUUUGGAAACUGUGCUGCUGGAGUGUCGGAGAGGCAAGUGGAAUUCCUAGUGUAGCGGUGAAAUGCGUAGAUAUUAGGAGGAACACCAGUGGCGAAGGCGGCUUGCUGGACGAUGACUGACGUUGAGGCUCGAAAGCGUGGGGAGCAAACAGGAUUAGAUACCCCGGUAA
RNAcentral lists this ribosomal RNA (446 nucleotides) under uncultured bacterium. Its description in RNAcentral is "bacterial SSU rRNA". It matches the Rfam family "Bacterial small subunit ribosomal RNA", at positions 330 to 793 of the family's 1533-position model. The record is from RNAcentral.